Molecule: ribosomal RNA, 406 nt
Filed under: uncultured bacterium
Lineage: Bacteria
Description: partial 16S ribosomal RNA
Rfam family: Bacterial small subunit ribosomal RNA
Source: RNAcentral
AUUGAACGCUAGCGGCAUGCCUAACACAUGCAAGUCGAACGAGUGGCGGACGGGUGAGUAAUUUCUGGGAAACUGCCUGAUGGAGGGGGAUAACUACUGGAAACGGUGGCUAAUACCGCAUACCAUCAGAUGUGCCCAGAUUGGAUUAGCUAGUUGGUGGGGUAACGUCUAACCAAGGCGACGAUCCCUAGCUGGUCUGAGAGGAUGACCAGCCACACUGGAACUGAGACACGGCCCAGACUCCUACGGUAGGCAGCAGUGGGGAAUUUUGCACAAUGGGGGAAACCCUGAUGCAGCCAUGCCGCGUGUAUGAAGAAGGCCUUCGGGUUGUAAAGUACUUUUAGCAGGGAAGCGUUAUCCGCAGAAUAAGCACCGGCUAACUCCGUGCCAGCAGCCGCGGUAAUAC